UCCAAAAAACGUAUGUAACCAAUCAAAUCCUGAAAUUACUGACGUCCGGCUGACUCUGACCUCAGUCAUUCUUAAAGAAGAACGAUUCGAAAGACCGGGGUUUGAGGUCAUCAAGAACACCGCUAAAAUUAUUCCAGAUCGAAGGGAAGUAUUGAUGUCUUUGUUUUAUCCGCUCUACUAAAAGUCUGCCAACUCAAGUUUUCAACUCAGUCCCAGUUUUUCAUCACAUCUCAAGAAAAUGGCAUUUAGCGUUGUACAUUUGCUAAUGACCGAUGAAGUGGCUGUCGUCCAAGCAAAUGAGUGUCAAAUGAUAAAAAGGGACAUGUAACUGGCCUUCGUAUAAAGAAAGAAGUCACAUGAAAAGAGCAAUUCUGGAACACAGAGAACCAGAUACAUCCUGAGAGAAUUUUUAAAUUGUUGUCCUGGGAGAAUAUUGUGCUUUCAAAGAAAAUCGGGCCACCAGAGAGGUACCUUGCAAUAUUAUUGAAAAUAUUAUAAAAGACUGGUUGAAAAGUGUUUCAUUUAGAGAAAAGUAUCAUAAACAAAAAGGAAAAUGUACAACAGAAAGAAGUUUGUAAGCAAUGGAAUAAAAAAUUUGUG
This 600-nucleotide long non-coding RNA is filed under the name Stegodyphus dumicola. RNAcentral describes it as "uncharacterized LOC118188365, transcript variant X1". The record is from RNAcentral. Lineage: Eukaryota; Metazoa; Arthropoda; Arachnida; Araneae; Eresidae.